GUGAGCAUCAGCCCGGGAUGAUUCCAGCGUGGCUCUCCGCUCUCAGCUGGUCCUGCCUCUGUUCCAGGUCGCGAAUCUGCUUCCCCACGGCCUCGAGCUCGAGCUGCACAGAGUGGAGACAUUCAUCCGCCAUUAAAGCAAGUAACAGUGCAUCUCACGAACCAUCAACUGGCAAGUAUAUAUAGCCACAGCCCAAAACAAUGUUUCAGUGUCUGACAAUGGAAGUACAAGGAAUAGGACAGGAUCAACAGCCAGAGAGAAGAAGAAGAGGAAGAGGAGUGAGGCUGUGUGGUGGAGGAGGAAGAGGACAGAUGUGUGUUCCUGAUGAGAUAAGAGACACUCGUCCUCAAUCACUGGUUGAAGGGUGCAGCCAAAUGUUGGGAGAACAACUAUGUCCUCAAUCAUUCAGACUUUUUGUCGACAGAACGGGACUGCAAGGCAACUUCACAGGUGUGGCGGAGGGCCCCUCUUCACACCUGAACAGGAGGAGGCUCUUUGCACCAUGUCAUAUAAGACUAAUGGAGAUAAGAGUGCCAUUAUAGAGGACAACAGCAUCUUUAAAAACAUCCAAACAGUCAGCAUCUCAACCAUUGACCGGGUGCUGAAAAGACACCAAAUGAAUGUGAAACAGCUGUACACGGUCUCAUAUGAAAGAAAGUGUGAAAUAGUGAAGGAGAUGUGCUAGCAGUAUGUACAGGUAAAACAUGUAUGAGCAUGCAGCAACUGUACUUCACAGUAAACAGUACAACAUCCUAUAGUGAUAUACAGUACAGUAAGUGCGACCUUUACACAUUUGCUAUGGCUGUAAAAACGAAGAUGUAAUAUGUGCUGUAUACAUUUGAUGUAACUGUAUCUUGGCCAAAAUAAAAAGUGAAGGUCAUUCAUAAAUCUAAUUUUGUGUCUUCUGGAUAUAGUGUAUAAUGGAACUGGAAGCAAGUGAACCACCGCACAGCUUCAUCUACAUGGAUGAGACUGACCUCAACCUAACGAAACGCAGAAGGCGUGAUGGAAGUAUCAUCAGCCACAGAGCUACAGUUGAUGUGCCAGGCCAACGAGGCGGGAACAUAACCAUGGGUGCAGCUAUUUCUGAGAAUGGUGUGCUAACGCAUAUUCCCUUUAUUGGGCCAUACAAUACAGAGUGGCUUACAUUUUAUCACAAGAGAAGAUAUUCAUUGUGAUGUGGAUGAGAAUUUGUGUACAUUUUUGUACAGUUUUGUACAGUUUUCCUUAAGGAGACUAUGGACAUAUUUCUACUUUAGUUUUUUCCCUUGUGUUAUGCAGUGCUGUCUUUUCCUUUCUGUAUCGCA
Carassius gibelio (silver crucian carp) is the source of this 1307-nucleotide long non-coding RNA. RefSeq lists it as uncharacterized. The transcript has 3 exons. The record is from RefSeq and is a predicted model, not a curated record. Lineage: Eukaryota; Metazoa; Chordata; Actinopteri; Cypriniformes; Cyprinidae.